UCUAAUAUGGCAGAUAAGUGCAAUGGAUUUAAAUCCCAUAUAUAAAGUAAUAAAAAACUUUUAUUGGAA
This 69-nucleotide transfer RNA is filed under the name Bundoksia longissima. RNAcentral's name for it is "tRNA-Leu". The record is from RNAcentral. Lineage: Eukaryota; Metazoa; Arthropoda; Insecta; Blattodea; Blattidae.